Molecule: ribosomal RNA, 468 nt
Filed under: uncultured bacterium
Lineage: Bacteria
Description: partial 16S ribosomal RNA
Rfam family: Bacterial small subunit ribosomal RNA
Source: RNAcentral
GACGAACGCUGGCGGCGUGCUUAACACAUGCAAGUCGAACGGAAAGGCCCUGCUUUUGUGGGGUGCUCGAGUGGCGAACGGGUGAGUAACACGUGAGUAACCUGCCCUUGACUUUGGGAUAACGUCAGGAAACUGGGGCUAAUACCGGAUAGGAGCUCCUGCUGCAUGGUGGGGGUUGGAAAGUUUCGGCGGUUGGGGAUGGACUCGCGGCUUAUCAGCUUGUUGGUGGGGUAGUGGCUUACCAAGGCUUUGACGGGUAGCCGGCCUGAGAGGGUGACCGGCCACAUUGGGACUGAGAUAAGGCCCAGACUCCUACGGGAGGCAGCAGUGGGGAAUAUUGCACAAUGGGCGGAAGCCUGAUGCAGCAACGCCGCGUGCGGGAUGACGGCCUUCGGGUUGUAAACCGCUUUCGCCUGUGACGAAGCGUGAGUGACGGUAAUGGGUAAAGAAGCACCGGCUAACUACGUG